RNAcentral lists this ribosomal RNA (498 nucleotides) under uncultured bacterium. RNAcentral's name for it is "partial 16S ribosomal RNA". It matches the Rfam family "Bacterial small subunit ribosomal RNA", at positions 30 to 523 of the family's 1533-position model. The record is from RNAcentral.
AUUGAACGCUGGCGGCAUGCCUUACACAUGCAAGUCGAACGGUAACAGGUCUUCGGAUGCUGACGAGUGGCGAACGGGUGAGUAAUACAUCGGAACGUGCCCGAUCGUGGGGGAUAACGAAGCGAAAGCUUUGCUAAUACCGCCUAAGAUCUAAGGAUGAAAGCAGGGGACAGCAAGGCCUUGCGCGAACGGAGCGGCCGAUGGCAGAUUAGGUAGUUGGUGGGAUAAAAGCUUACCAAGCCGACGAUCUGUAGCUGGUCUGAGAGGACGACCAGCCACACUGGGACUGAGACACGGCCCAGACUCCUACGGGAGGCAGCAGUGGGGAAUUUUGGACAAUGGGCGAAAGCCUGAUCCAGCCAUGCCGCGUGCAGGAUGAAGGCCUUCGGGUUGUAAACUGCUUUUGUACGGAACGAAAAGACUCUUUCUAAUAAAGAGGGUCCAUGACGGUACCGUAAGAAUAAGCACCGGCUAACUACGUGCCAGCCGCCGCCGUAA